UUGGGUUUAUAUGUAAUACAUUAUUUUCUGUCUACUACUAAUAAUAGGAAAUGGAUUCCUGGUUAACAUUUUCACACAGAACAUAUGAUUUUCUGGAACAGAUUAUUAACAUUACAAGGGAGUUGCCUGGUAGUCAGAGAUCCCUGCGAUGGUGGAGCUGAUAUUCUAGAGCAACGUGGAGCUUUGCUGGAGAAAUACAAGAGAUGAGGAGCAUAGAUGGUGAUGGCAUCGAAGAAGCAAGGACGUUGGGAAGAAAAUCAUACAGAAAUAAUGAUGGUGGGAAAUAACAAGCUACAUAAAUCAUAUACAGAUUGCUGUCAAGUUGAAAUGUUGCUAAAAACUAUGUACCUCCUAACCAGAUAGUCUUUUUUAAAAAAUACCAGAAGGGUGCUGUCAUAAAAUUUAAUUUGAUCCUGAAAUGCUUAACAAAGACCAAGACAUGAGGGAAGCAGAGGUCAGACCCAGACACAUGGGUUGGAAAAGAGAAUGAUGAUACAGAUUCUAGUGAUAGCGCUGUGCUGACACAGAGACAGAUGAGGAAAAAGACACAGAAACUUUGAAGGUGAAAAACAGGAUAAAUCAAAGAGGGUAGUCUGAAGAAUAAGAAGAGGUUUUAAAAUAGCAUUUCUCAGGAAAGUGGUAAGUUGAAUCUUCUUUUGUGAUGAUAUCAGGAUGUUUCUUUCUACUUUAGAGCAGCUUGAGUUUAAAGAAGGGAGACCAUCAUCCAGAGAGUUUAAACAAGUAGGGGUAGGAAAGGCAGUGAGGCAAUUGUGACCUAGCCUGGAACAUAAUUAAACAUAACCAAAUGACCAAUAACUUAUUAUAACAAUAAAAGAAA
RNAcentral lists this long non-coding RNA (838 nucleotides) under Homo sapiens (human). RNAcentral describes it as "HSALNT0335895". The record is from RNAcentral. Lineage: Eukaryota; Metazoa; Chordata; Mammalia; Primates; Hominidae.